GUCAAUAUGGCAUAAUGGUUUGAGUGUUAGACUACGGCGCUGGAGACCAGGGUUCAAUUCCCAGCUCAGCCA
This is a non-coding RNA of Phrynosoma platyrhinos (Desert horned lizard), 72 nucleotides long. Lineage: Eukaryota; Metazoa; Chordata; Lepidosauria; Squamata; Phrynosomatidae. The record is from the annotation of a GenBank genome assembly.